AUGGUGUCUGAUUUGGUUAGGUGCAUCGCCCGGCCCCAUCUUGGGAUGAUGUUUCAAGCCAUCAAGCUUCUAGAACCUGCUCAUGUUGACAUGUUAUGGCGUAUGUAUAACAUUGAUCAUGGUCUUAUUGUUCAAGAGGUAUGUAAUGGCUUCCGGAAGGUGCUCCUUUUCCCAUGUGUAUAUGUUGGAAAAUACGCUGAUGAUCACAUGCAAGGGCCCUUCAGAUAUAAUGCUAGCACUAAGUCUGUGGUGCGCAGCAAGUCCUACAGACUCUUGAACAGGCUGCCAGAAGAGGGAUGCGAGAAAAUGCCAGAAAAGGGAUGUUUCUGUAGAGCUGUGCCUUUCAGGAAGGACACCUCCCUUGGCAUGCUUCUGCUGGAUGGCCUGACCGAGUUUUUGGUCGGCGCCGAUAGCCGUGCCGCCUCCCUAUACCUCGCCAAGCCCCCACCCCGUUUGGCCAAUGUCGUGCUGCCGCUCACCGAUCUUCUCAAGUCGACCCAAGCCGGACGUAAGCUCGUGCGGCACCCCUCCUGGUGGCUCGGUCAGCAACCACACGCCCAUGUGCAACAUUUCGGUGAGUUGCCGGCAGGUCAGGCCUUGUUUCCAUCUCCUUUGACACGCUUCCUCCUCCGAGUGAUCCACCACACUUAUCACAUCAACCGCAGAGAAGAGAAGAUGCAUUUGACCGUAGCAUCCCUUGUGACAGGACAAGACAUGGCGACCAUGCAGCCCAGCAUGCAACAGUCGCACAUGCCCUUUGAGAAUCCGUCCAACUACCGCCUCCACCCCCAGCAUUCAGCACAUCACUCACCUUCAUUGGGUUUCUCUCCUUGUACUUCCCGGCCGCCACUCCAACUGCUGGCCCUAGUCCUCGUUGAGUCUGACAUGACGCUGCUUGUCCGUAGCCUAUGCGUGAGCAACACGGUGGGACCCAGUGCCAGGCGCCAGUCUAGCCACUUCACGCAUCAUCGCAUCAUGCGAAGAAGGAAACCUCAUCGACCUUUUGUGAGCAGGAUGCAUAGCGCGGAGCACCCUAGGGUUAUCACCAUGGACUUGGCUCCAUCACCAAGGAACACUCACAUCAUAUAUACUAAGUUCAUCACAUUCUCCCGCUUCAACAUCUUCUCCCCUUUUGAUAACAAGUUCUCACAUAUCUCUCUUUUGAUGAGAUUUGAGCCCAUCUCCUGCAGUUCCAGGAGUGGGGAGGCUAGUAGUGAGCAGCAACAAGAGGAGGAGGCUUGCAGUUCCAGUAGUUGGGAGGCUAGUAGUGAGCAGCAACAAGAGGAGGAGGCGCUCUCGUGUCAAGGCACUUCUAGUGUGUUGAUCCUUCAGCGACCACUUCGUCAUCGUCAUCCUCACGGACCUCUACACGGUGACGGAAGACCACACCAUCACUUAAUCGUGGCCCAUGAACGUGAGGUCACCGCCAACCACGCCUUUUUGCCCAAGUUGGAGGAGAUGUUAGCCGAGCUUGGCGACAUUGAUGAACACAACAACGACCCGAUGACGGGGAUGCCGCAGGGCACCCACAACAUUCUUCUCAAAAAGGCCCAUGACCUGUCAAUCUGCGAACAGACCGCAAGAACCCCGCGUACAGUCCGAAAGCAACACAGGACACAAUGUUUUAGCAGCCUCGGCGGCGCGAUUGCAAGAGGAUCGGCGAUGCGCGCGAGCAAGAAGAUGUUGAGCGCGGGCGUGGAGAAGCCCAAUAACAAAAGGGCCACGGCGGCCGAUCCGACCAGCCGAGGCGAUACCAACGCGAAGAAGACGAAGAGGGAUCCGUCGCCUGAUUGCGUACGCCCUCGUCUUUGCCAAGAUUGCACAAGACGAGAUCGACAAAGAGUCAGCUCCCCGCCCUGUGCAAAUUCCUACCAUCGCUUACUUCAAACCUCCCACCUUGUUUCACACCGACGAGCUCCUUUCCGUCCGUCAAUCUGGAAGAAAGGCCGUGCUCUCGGCUGCCAAAUUUCUUCUAGGGGUCUCAUCCUCUCUUGGUACGUUCUAAUCCUCUAUGGUGAGCCGCUAAGACGGUGCUCUGGCUUCUGGGUUGAUUGGGAUGAGGAGAGCAGAACCGGCCUUGUUCUGACAACCGCGCGGCUGAUUCGCACAAAGGAUGCUCCUGUCAGCGUCUGGUCAGGCGGUGAAGAGUAUGAAUUGUUACAGUAUGACAAUGGGGGUCCAGUUAUUGACUUGGAUGGAGAAGUUGUUGGAAUGGUCAACGACCCUGAGAGAUUUGAGUCUUUUAUACCUUCUUCCAUUUUGCUCAAUUGUUUGGAUUCAUGGAGGAAAUAUCGUUAUAAGAAGGGUUUUGCUUUGCAUGUCCUUGGCCAAGUUCUACGGCAUUUCGCCUGGCCCCAACUUGGAAUGACGUUUAAGGCCAUCGAACUUCUAGAACCUGCUCAUGCUGACAUGUUAUGGCAUAUGUUUAACAUUGAUGACGGUCUUGUUGUUCAAGAGUUGGAAAAUACGCUGAUGAGCACAUGCAAGGGACCUCCAGGUGCUGAAGUUCAUAUUUCUUCAUUUGGCAUGGAAUUUGCAGUGGUCCUUGAUGUUGAUUUUGGUACAUGGACAAUUCUGAUGUUAUGUCCUCAAGUUCUUUAUCCUACCACUUGCCCAUAA
This 2619-nucleotide ribosomal RNA is filed under the name Triticum aestivum (bread wheat). RNAcentral describes it as "partial small subunit ribosomal RNA". Lineage: Eukaryota; Viridiplantae; Streptophyta; Magnoliopsida; Poales; Poaceae. The record is from RNAcentral.